GAUCCAAUGGCACAACGGUUAGUGCGCUUGCUUCAGUUAAAAUGUUCGCGAUGUCAAGCAAGAGGUCCCUGUUCGAUUCGGGGUUGGGUCA
Mycena alexandri is the source of this 91-nucleotide non-coding RNA. Lineage: Eukaryota; Fungi; Basidiomycota; Agaricomycetes; Agaricales; Mycenaceae. The record is from the annotation of a GenBank genome assembly.